This 503-nucleotide ribosomal RNA is filed under the name uncultured Sphingobacteriales bacterium. RNAcentral describes it as "bacterial SSU rRNA". It matches the Rfam family "Bacterial small subunit ribosomal RNA", at positions 903 to 1382 of the family's 1533-position model. Lineage: Bacteria; Pseudomonadati; Bacteroidota; Sphingobacteriia; Sphingobacteriales. The record is from RNAcentral.
CGCCUUGCCAGCCCGCUCAGAAACUCAAAGGAAUUGACGGGGGCCCGCACAAGCGGUGGAGCAUGUGGUUUAAUUCGAUGAUACGCGAGGAACCUUACCUGGGCUCAAAUGUAUGUUGACGUAUUUCUGAAAGGGAUACUUCUUCGGACAAUAUACAAGGUGCCGCAUGGUUGUCGUCAGCUCGUGCCGUGAGGUGUCGGGUUAAGUCCCAUAACGAGCGCAACCCUACCUUUAGUUGCCAUCAGGUAAUGCUGGGGACUCUAAAGGAACUGCCUACGCAAGUAGUGAGGAAGGCGGGGAUGACGUCAAAUCAGCACGGCCCUUACGUCCAGGGCUACACACGUGCUACAAUGGCCGAUACAGAGGGCAGCUACCUGGUGACAGGAUGCAAAUCUCCAAAGUCGGUCUCAGUUCGGAUCGGAGUCUGCAACCCGACUCCGUGAAGUUGGAUUCGCUAGUAAUCGCGCAUCAGCCAUGGCGCGGUGAAUACGUUCCCGGGCCUU